RNAcentral lists this ribosomal RNA (374 nucleotides) under uncultured bacterium. Its description in RNAcentral is "bacterial SSU rRNA". It matches the Rfam family "Bacterial small subunit ribosomal RNA", at positions 524 to 898 of the family's 1533-position model. The record is from RNAcentral.
UACGUAGGGUGCGAGCGUUAAUCGGAAUUACUGGGCGUAACGCGCACGCAGGCGGUCUGAUCAGUCAGAAGUGAAAGCCCCGGGCUUAACCUGGGAACUGCUUUUGAUACUGUCAGGCUUGAAUCACGGAGAGGGUAGUGGAAUACCGAGUGUAGAGGUGAAAUUCGUAGAUAUUCGGAAGAACACCAGUGGCGAAGGCGACUACCUGGCCGUCGAUUGACGCUCAUGUGCGAAAGCGCGGGGAGCAAACAGGAUUAGAUACCCUGGUAGUCCACGCCGUAAACGAUGAGUGCUAGUUGUUGGGGUGCUUGCACCUCAGUGACGCAGCUAACGCGUUAAGCACUCCGCCUGGGGAGUACGGCCGCAAGGUUAAA